RNAcentral lists this ribosomal RNA (501 nucleotides) under Salmonella enterica. RNAcentral's name for it is "partial 23S ribosomal RNA". Lineage: Bacteria; Pseudomonadati; Pseudomonadota; Gammaproteobacteria; Enterobacterales; Enterobacteriaceae. The record is from RNAcentral.
GAAGCCCCCCCGGUAAACGGCGGCCGUAACUAUAACGGUCCUAAGGUAGCGAAAUUCCUUGUCGGGUAAGUUCCGACCUGCACGAAUGGCGUAAUGAUGGCCAGGCUGUCUCCACCCGAGACUCAGUGAAAUUGAACUCGCUGUGAAGAUGCAGUGUACCCGCGGCAAGACGGAAAGACCCCGUGAACCUUUACUAUAGCUUGACACUGAACAUUGAGCCUUGAUGUGUAGGAUAGGUGGGAGGCUUUGAAGCGUGGACGCCAGUCUGCGUGGAGCCGACCUUGAAAUACCACCCUUUAAUGUUUGAUGUUCUAACGUGGACCCGUWAYCCGGGUUGCGGACAGUGUCUGGUGGGUAGUUUGACUGGGGCGGUCUCCUCCUAAAGAGUAACGGAGGAGCACGAAGGUUGGCUAAUCCUGGUCGGACAUCAGGAGGUUAGUGCAAUGGCAUAAGCCAGCUUGACUGCGAGCGUGACGGCGCGAGCAGGUGCGAAAGCAGGUC